UCCCCUUUCUUUUUCCCAAAAUCGGUUCCCCCCUCGAAAUCUCAAAAUACCUAAAAUCUCUUCUUCUAUUUUUUCCCCAUUUUAUUUUUCCCUAACCAUUUCUCCCCUACCCCAAUUCUUUUUAUUUUUGCCCCCAAUUUCCCCAAAUCGGUAGCCCUCUGCAUCUUCGUCGGCAACCCAUUGCUGCAUCUCCGUCGGUAGCCCUCUGCUGCUUCUCCUUGAGAAAACGUUAGCUGCGGCUGAGAGUAGACCUUUGCCUUCCUUGUAUAGCAGUGCUGACAUUCGUUCCCUGAAAAUGGAUGAUUUUAAAUAUGCACAUGAGCAGAUAGCUGGAGGUCACCGAAGCAGCAGUUACACUCAUCAGACUAUCACAUGGAAUGGGAGCAAUUAUGCAAAUUAUACUACUCAGCAAUUAUACUACCAUUGUUGCAGGUUUGAGUUUUUGUUGGAUGCAUGGUCCAAAAUUAGCUGAAUUCAUGCAUGGUGACAACUUGUUUGAGCUAACUGUUGAUCUUAAAGUGUGCAUUCUAUUAUUAUUUUGUUCUAUUUGUAUUUUGUUAGAUUUAAGGUGUAGUAUGAUAAGUGUGAUAUUUUGUUUGAUUGUUAUUGAUCUUUUGUUUGAUUGUUAUUGAUCAACUUUCUGUUUGAUGGGAUAUAUAUUUAUAUUAUGGAUAUUCUUCUUCUUCUUAA
Long non-coding RNA from Gossypium arboreum, 690 nucleotides. RefSeq lists it as uncharacterized. The record is from RefSeq and is a predicted model, not a curated record. The transcript has 3 exons. Lineage: Eukaryota; Viridiplantae; Streptophyta; Magnoliopsida; Malvales; Malvaceae.